This 145-nucleotide ribosomal RNA is filed under the name Nitrosopumilaceae archaeon. RNAcentral's name for it is "partial 16S ribosomal RNA". It matches the Rfam family "Archaeal small subunit ribosomal RNA", at positions 1 to 149 of the family's 1478-position model. The record is from RNAcentral. Lineage: Archaea; Thermoproteati; Nitrososphaerota; Nitrososphaeria; Nitrosopumilales; Nitrosopumilaceae.
GAAUCCGGUUGAUCCUGCCGGACCUGACUGCUAUCGGAUUGAUACUAAGCCAUGCGAGUCAUUGUAGUAAUACAAGGCAGACGGCUCAGUAACGCGUAGUCAACCUAACCUAUGGACGGGAAUAACCUCGGGAAACUGAGAAUAA